GGGAAUGUGGCUUAGUGGUAGAGUGCUUGCCUAACAUGCAUGAAGCCCUGGGUUCAAUUCCUCAGUACCA
This is a non-coding RNA of Dipodomys ordii (Ord's kangaroo rat), 70 nucleotides long. NCBI's taxonomy places the organism in Eukaryota, Metazoa, Chordata, Mammalia, Rodentia, Heteromyidae. The record is from Rfam.